Molecule: ribosomal RNA, 440 nt
Filed under: uncultured bacterium
Lineage: Bacteria
Description: partial 16S ribosomal RNA
Rfam family: Bacterial small subunit ribosomal RNA
Source: RNAcentral
CCUACGGGAGGCAGCAGUGGGGAAUAUUGCACAAUGGGGGAAACCCUGAUGCAGCGACGCCGCGUGAGUGAAGAAGUAUUUCGGUAUGUAAAGCUCUAUCAGCAGGGAAGAAAAUGACGGUACCUGACUAAGAAGCCCCGGCUAACUACGUGCCAGCAGCCGCGGUAAUACGUAGGGGGCAAGCGUUAUCCGGAUUUACUGGGUGUAAAGGGAGCGUAGACGGCCAGACAAGUCAGAAGUGAAAGCCCAUGGCUCAACCCUGGGACUGCUUUUGAAACUGCCGGGCUGGAGUGCAGGAGAGGUAAGCGGAAUUCCUAGUGUAGCGGUGAAAUGCGUAGAUAUUAGGAGGAACACCAGUGGCGAAGGCGGCUUACUGGACUGUAACUGACGUUGAGGCUCGAAAGCGUGGGGAGCAAACAGGAUUAGAUACCCCUGUAGUC